Molecule: long non-coding RNA, 601 nt
Filed under: Numida meleagris (helmeted guineafowl)
Lineage: Eukaryota; Metazoa; Chordata; Aves; Galliformes; Numididae
Description: lncRNA (ENSNMEG00000000360.1)
Source: RNAcentral
UGGUUCAGGCCAUGACUCAGUAGUUCCCAUACAAAUAGGCCUAUGUUACAGUUAAUGCAAUGGGAUCUAGCGAUAAGAGUAAUGCUUUUUAAAAAAAAUAAAGCGUGAUUAUCUAGUUCCUUUUAUUUUAAAAGCAGAAGCUCCAGGUGAGGAGCUACUCUAAAACAAAUUCAUCAGAAUGUUCAAGCUGGAAGUGGCAGGUGAAGAAAGUUUUGGGGAUGCUCUUCAGUGCAUUGCCAUGAGGAACCUUGGUGAUGGACAAUGGAGUCAUUCUGCUCGGUGGAACAGACCCCCACCUCGGCACAAAGACCAUUUAAAUUCUCAACAUGAUGCUACAGGCAGAUACAGAAGAUAAGAGAGAAGAUUAUGCUGUGUAACAGUAUAAAGACAUGGGAUGAAAAUGCCAGCCCUCCAGAUUAAAAACCCCUUUGGUCCGUAAGUGUUGCAUUUUGUGGCUCAGUUUAAGCUAUUUCUUAUGUAAUGAUUUAGUACCAUGAGCGCUGUGCAACCUCAGGGCAGAGUGCCCCUGUUCCCAAGGCUUUGUCUGUUGCUUUCCACCCUUUGCCUGUCUCCUGGAGCCUGCCUUGGUGCACCACUGAGA